RNAcentral lists this ribosomal RNA (600 nucleotides) under uncultured Actinomycetes bacterium. Its description in RNAcentral is "bacterial SSU rRNA". It matches the Rfam family "Bacterial small subunit ribosomal RNA", at positions 252 to 866 of the family's 1533-position model. Lineage: Bacteria; Bacillati; Actinomycetota; Actinomycetes. The record is from RNAcentral.
GCGAGGUAACGGCUCACCAAGGCAUCGACGGGUAGCUGGUCUGAGAGGAUGAUCAGCCACACUGGGACUGAGACACGGCCCAGACUCCUACGGGAGGCAGCAGUGGGGAAUAUUGCACAAUGGGCGCAAGCCUGAUGCAGCGAUGCCGCGUGCGGGAUGAAGGCCCUAGGGUUGUAAACCGCUUUCAGUAGGGAAGAAAAUGACGGUACCUACAGAAGAAGGUGCGGCCAACUACGUGCCAGCAGCCGCGGUAACACGUAGGCACCAAGCGUUAUCCGGAUUUAUUGGGCGUAAAGAGCUCGUAGGCGGUUCAGUCAGUCGGGUGUGAAAACUUGAGGCUUAACCUCAAGAGGUCACUCGAUACUACUGUGACUAGAGUGCGGUAGGGGAGCGGGGAAUUCCUGGUGUAGCGGUGAAAUGCGCAGAUAUCAGGAGGAACACCAGUGGCGAAGGCGCCGCUCUGGGCCGUAACUGACGCUGAGGAGCGAAAGCAUGGGUAGCAAACAGGAUUAGAUACCCUGGUAGUCCAUGCCGUAAACGUUGGGCACUAGGUGUGGGUCUCAACCAACGAGAUCCGCGCCGUCGCUAACGCAUUAAGUG